GGGGGCGCACUGGUUUCGACCAUGUGAACACGCCAGAGGCGGCAUGCCGAGGAAGAUGCGUUGGCCUCGUUAAUCAUUCGCAUCAAAACAAAACAGCUAAUCAAGAACUAGCUCUCGCGGCCUAAGGCCCCGACGUUCACCACUGGACACCUGCUACGGUGGAGGAACGCAACAGCAGGCAUGGUCGGCGACGGAGACCGCGCGUUGCCGGCCGAGAUCUUAUCAUGCGGACUAGGCAGUGCGACUUGAGUCCGGACAGCAUCGCAUAGCAGAAAACAUUAUCCGGAAUAAGCAUGUAGUCGCGGCUGGUAGGUUGACUUGGGACGCGGGUUCAAUUCCCGCCGCCUCCACCA
This 353-nucleotide transfer-messenger RNA is filed under the name Verrucomicrobiia. RNAcentral describes it as "UBA11358 sp003455565 Standard tmRNA". It matches the Rfam family "transfer-messenger RNA". From Rfam's summary of the family: Bacterial tmRNA, also known as 10Sa RNA or SsrA, is named for its dual tRNA and mRNA-like properties. Its role is to liberate the mRNA from a stalled ribosome. Lineage: Bacteria; Pseudomonadati; Verrucomicrobiota. RNAcentral also lists the same sequence under 1 other name. The record is from RNAcentral.